GUGGGGUGAUGGCCUACCAAGGCGACGACGGGUAGCUGGUCUGAGAGGACGACCAGCCACACUGGGACUGAGACACGGCCCAGACUCCUACGGGAGGCAGCAGUGGGGAAUCUUGCACAAUGGGCGAAAGCCUGACGCAGCGACACCGCGUGGGGGAUGAAGGCCUUUCAGGUCGUAAACCCCUUUCGGCAGGGACGAAGCGAUCUCGUGACGGUACCUGCAGAAGAAGCCUCGGCUAACUACGUGCCAGCAGCCGCGGUAACACGUAGGAGGCGAGCGUUGUCCGGAAUCAUUGGGCGUAAAGAGCGCGCAGGCGGCUUGGCAAGUCGGGUGUGAAAUCCCGGGGCUCAACCCCGUGACUGCAUCCGAUACUGUCAGGCUAGAGGUAGGUAGGGGAGAUCGGAAUUCCUGGUGUAGCGGUGAAAUGCGCAGAUAUCAGGAGGAACACCGGUGGCGAAGGCGGAUCUCUGGGCCUUACCUGACGCUCAGGCGCGAAAGCUAGGGGAGCGAACAGGAUUAGAUACCCUGGUAGUCCUAGCCGUAAACGUUGGGUGCUAGGUGUGGGCGGAUAUCAACCCCGUCCGUGCCGAAGCUAACGCAUUAAGCA
RNAcentral lists this ribosomal RNA (607 nucleotides) under uncultured Actinomycetes bacterium. RNAcentral's name for it is "bacterial SSU rRNA". It matches the Rfam family "Bacterial small subunit ribosomal RNA", at positions 252 to 866 of the family's 1533-position model. Lineage: Bacteria; Bacillati; Actinomycetota; Actinomycetes. The record is from RNAcentral.